CCUUCCCACCUGGGUCCACUCCAAAGUAAUUCUCUUCCCUGACGGACUGGAGAGCUGCUCCAUGAACCUGGUCACACCCGAAGAGGUGCUCUGGUACACCCUCUAUCAGACCAUCACAUCUUUCUUUCUGCCCUUGCCCCUUUAUCCUCACCUGUUACAUGCUGAUCCUGUGCUAUACCUGGAGGAUGUCCGUGAAGAACAAGAGAGAACCGCACUUCAGUGCUAACAACCAGUCCCGGGACCGAGCCAUCCGCCUUACCAAGAUACUUCUUGUCCUGUGGUGGUUUUCCUGGUGAGCGUAGGGCCCUACCACACGCUCUAGCUGGUCAACUUAACACUGCGGCGGCACCAGCUGGCCUACUACACCUGAUACUACCUGUCAGUGUGUCUCAGCUACGCCGCCAGCAGCAUUAACCCUUUCAUCUACAUCCUGCUCAGCGGACACUUCCGUUGCCGACUCACUUACAGCCGACCAGCAGGCCUAGUGUUGAGAGGGAGCCUUGUCGGCCCCAGGUCCGUACACCACAUUCCAGCUUCUGACCAUCCUGUCCUCAAAGCAGGCAAACAUAUGGAUGCAUGCACGCAUACAAGCGUAUCCCCACACGCGCUCGCAUCCACACACACACACAUACACACACACCACCACCAUUGCAGCCUAUCCCCAGCACACUGCCUGGUGCAUUACCUAUGGCAGGAGAAUGAUAUUUUGGUCAAGGAGUGCUUUAAUAUACAUUGUGGAUUGACUUACACCUCAACAGGAUCAGAGUGUUAUUAUUUAUUUUCUAUUAUGGUUUCCAAAUGGACUGUACGGUAGAAUGCUGUAGUUAUUACAUUGUAAAGUAAUUAUGUUCACAUGAGUAAUUCCUUCUGUUAAAGAAAAUACAUAUAUUGUUAAUGGAUCAGCCUCAUGGGUGGUUAGCAUAACACACUAGGGGUUAUUGCCUGUUAAGAUAUUUUUGU
Long non-coding RNA from Oncorhynchus tshawytscha (Chinook salmon), 960 nucleotides. The record is from Ensembl. NCBI's taxonomy places the organism in Eukaryota, Metazoa, Chordata, Actinopteri, Salmoniformes, Salmonidae.